This 475-nucleotide ribosomal RNA is filed under the name Oedalechilus labiosus (hornlip mullet). Its description in RNAcentral is "partial small subunit ribosomal RNA". It matches the Rfam family "Bacterial small subunit ribosomal RNA", at positions 788 to 1491 of the family's 1533-position model. The record is from RNAcentral. Lineage: Eukaryota; Metazoa; Chordata; Actinopteri; Mugiliformes; Mugilidae.
CACUAUGCUCAGCCCUAAACUUUGAUAGUUCAAUUACACUCGCUAUCCGCCCGGGUACUACGAGCUCCGGCUUAAAACCCAAAGGACUUGGCGGUGCUUAAGAUCCACCUAGAGGAGCCUGUUCUAGAACCGAUACUCCCCGUUAAACCUCACCCUUUCUUGUUCUUACCGCCUAUAUACCGCCGUCGUCAGCUUACCCUGUGAAGGACUAGUAGUAAGCAAAAUUGGUACGGCCCAAAACGCCAGGUCGAGGUGUAGCGUAUGAAAGGGGAAGAAAUGGGCUACAUUUCCUAAACAGGAAAUACGAACAAUAAACUGAAAUGUAUAUUAGAAGGAGGAUUUAGCAGUAAAUGAAAAAUAGAGUGUUUCAUUGAAACCGGCCCUAAAGCGCGCACACACCGCCCGUCACUCUCCCCAAGAUACAGUUUUCUUAUAUUUAAUUACCCAAGUAAAUACAAGGGGAGGCAAGUCGUAA